Small nucleolar RNA from Lactuca sativa (garden lettuce), 107 nucleotides. The record is from RefSeq and is a predicted model, not a curated record. NCBI's taxonomy places the organism in Eukaryota, Viridiplantae, Streptophyta, Magnoliopsida, Asterales, Asteraceae.
AGAUCAUUUUGGGGACAAUUUCUUAGCAACCGAAUGUAUCGUUCCCAUGCUUCAUACAAUGAUUCCCCCGCUUGUUGUUCAAAAUUGGCUAUGACCUUAUUAAUUUU